This 1143-nucleotide long non-coding RNA is filed under the name Rhinopithecus bieti (black snub-nosed monkey). RNAcentral's name for it is "lncRNA (ENSRBIG00000045092.1)". Lineage: Eukaryota; Metazoa; Chordata; Mammalia; Primates; Cercopithecidae. The record is from RNAcentral.
GAUAUGUGAAUACCAUUAAAAAACUCUGCUGCUGCUCUAGAAACUUUUAUAGAAGGACAAAAAUUAGAUAAGAUGAAAAAUGUGUUUAUGGAUACAUUUACACUAUUAUCUGUAAGUAUAUAAUUAUCACCUGUAGGCUCUCGACUGCCAUGUAGCUUGGAGAUAUGACAAAACUUUACAGAAUUUAAAGAUGCUUCUCGUUGUUGGUAGGAAAGGCAUGGUAACAGAUAAAGCCACUAAGACAAUAGUAGACUGAAUAGGUAGCUACAUUGAAGAGCAAGCUGGGGCUGGGAAAGGCUUAUGGGCCUUAACUCAGCUCCCAGUCACCAAGCCUCCUCCCCAACCUAACUAAUGGCAUAUUGGGAGUCUGAUUUAGUUCUGACUUUGUUGUGUGUAUGAGAAAGCUUCUGUAAGGGCAGAGGGGUUGAGGGAAAUGUACAUUAUUUAUAUCUGUGAAAUUAGUAAGGUUGACUGUAGUUAAAAUUAAUUUAAAAAAAUCUAAGUGUUUCAGGAUGAACAAUUAAAUGUUAAAAUAUGGGUAUAUUUAUAGCUAUAACAGUUUGCCAUUAACUUCUGUUAAGACAGGUUUUAUUCACUGCUGACUCCCCAGUGCCAAGAACAGUGCCUGGGAUGCAGUAAGUAUUUAAUAAUUAUUUGCUGAUUAAUAGGUUGUGCGGAUGAGUGAUGUGAUAGUUUUUUUCUUUCUAGGUGCAGAUUUUAAUGUCAGUGACUGAAUUAAAAGGUGUUGAGAAGCUCAGAAUGAAUAGAUAUGUUGGAUAUUUUGCACAAGUGAAACAUAUCUACAACUGGAAUCUCCCUCCAAGAAGGAUACUUUUUACAAAAGCAUUCAUUAUUUAUUCGAUUCAUGGUAAGUGCUUUAUGUAUAAUUGGAGAAUUGGGCAGGAGGGCCAAUGUUCCUGCUCUGGGAGGCUUUUGCUCAUAGUUACAUAUACAGAUGAUCCUAACUCAUAUCUGACUUUUUACAUAUCCUCACACGUGAACUCCUCCUUACGUAUGCCCCUCCUCCUGCAAUUGUCCAUUGAUUGCCAGCCCUUAGAUGCUCUUCACUUUUUCUUUUGGGGGACUUCAUCCCCUUCCCAUCUCUCCUGUUCUCGUUGCUCCUCUGGUCUCAACCCAGGGUAG